UUAAGAAGAAAAAGAAAGUGGUUUCAAAGAACAAUGAUGAAGAAAAGCUGGCAAGAGCUAUAUAGAAGGAAAUGAAAGAGAAGACCACAAUGGCUUCACAAGAAGAAGAAUGUAUUUUGAGUCCUGAGAGUGAAGAUGAUGAUGAAGUAAUGGACAAGAGCAUGCAUAUUGCAUUGGUAACUUUGUGGCCAGGGGUGGCCAUAACAGUUUGGCAAAAGAGGUUACUAAAUGCAAAAAAACAAAUGUUAAAGAAUACACAAACACCCUGCUGUGGAUGAUUCUCACACCAGAAGUGCUACAAUCAUCUUCCCUCACUGGAAAGAAAAGCAACGCUUUUAAAGAUGUGAGAGCCAAAAAGAAGCUGCCUGGUGUAGAGUUCAUAAUUGAUUAUAUCAAAGAACAGACCCGUUCUCCUGAUGUUCAACCAGUCAAAACGGCCAUCACUCACCUCUUGAACACCGAAGGCAAACGCUUGCUGAAGAAGUGUGAUACCGCUGAUUAAAGGCUUGCCCUAAAGUUAAUGUUC
Long non-coding RNA from Thalassophryne amazonica, 526 nucleotides. RefSeq lists it as uncharacterized. The transcript has 5 exons. Lineage: Eukaryota; Metazoa; Chordata; Actinopteri; Batrachoidiformes; Batrachoididae. The record is from RefSeq and is a predicted model, not a curated record.